CCCCUUAACAAUUUCGAACUUAUCUCUUUUCUUCUAGCUGGUCUUGGAUUGGACUAUGAUUCAUUUGUCACAUCAGUGACUACAAGGGUUGAUCCUUUCUCCAUUGAAGAAUUGUAUGGGAACUUACUAGCUCAUGAGA
Small nucleolar RNA from Quercus robur (English oak), 139 nucleotides. RefSeq annotates it as small nucleolar RNA Z247. NCBI's taxonomy places the organism in Eukaryota, Viridiplantae, Streptophyta, Magnoliopsida, Fagales, Fagaceae. The transcript has a single exon. The record is from RefSeq and is a predicted model, not a curated record.